AAGACCACACAGAUCCUAAUUUAGAAAGGCUUUGUUUGUUGAUUGGCAAUUGAACAUUGAGUGAGACAAUUGGGUCUUUAUAGCCGAGGGAGAGGAUUGAGGGGCGGUAUAAAUCGCAGCUUUGAUUAGGCGGCGAUUAAUACUCAGAUAUCUAACGUAUACUUCAAGCAAGGAAAGCAGAGCAAAAAUCUUUUCCAAGUUUGAGAAAAUCAAGAGUUGUGAGAGAGAAAGAGAGGAGAGGCCGUUAAGCUUCUGGUCCUUUUUAUUAGGGUAGUGAGUAGUUCAUCAUUGCAUAGGCUCGAGUAGUGGUGUGGUGCCUUUAAAUACAUGAUU
This 333-nucleotide long non-coding RNA is filed under the name Actinidia chinensis (golden kiwifruit). RNAcentral describes it as "long non-coding RNA (ACHI_LNC007886)". Lineage: Eukaryota; Viridiplantae; Streptophyta; Magnoliopsida; Ericales; Actinidiaceae. The record is from RNAcentral.